RNAcentral lists this ribosomal RNA (114 nucleotides) under Bicoxidens flavicollis. RNAcentral's name for it is "partial large subunit ribosomal RNA". Lineage: Eukaryota; Metazoa; Arthropoda; Diplopoda; Spirostreptida; Spirostreptidae. The record is from RNAcentral.
AAAAAUCAAGGCCUGCCCACUGAUUAAUUAAAGGGCUGCAGUAUUUUGACUGUACAAAGGUAGCAUAAUCAUUAGUCUUUUAAUUGGGGACUGGUAUGAAAGGUUUGACGGGGG